AUGGACGUGCUUUACGUCCAGGCGCUUGUGAUGGCGGCGGUGGCCGUGGCGCUGCUACAGCUGCUGAAAGUGGCCCUGAACCCGAUGAGGGAGAGGGCGCCGCCAGGGCCGUGGAAGCUGCCAGUGAUCGGCAGCAUGCACCACCUGAUGAACGUUCUGCCGCACCGCAAGCUGCGGGACCUUGCCGACGCGCACGGCCCGCUGAUGAUGCUGCAGCUUGGACAGACGCCGCUGGUGGUGGCUUCGUCCAAGGAGACGGCGCGGCUAGUGCUCAAGACUCACGACAGCAACUUCGCCACGCGGCCCAAGCUCCUCGCCGGCGAGAUCGUCGGCUACGAGUGGGCUGACAUCCUCUUCUCCCCAUCCGGUGACUACUGGCGCAAGCUCCGCCAUCUCUGCACCACCGAGAUUCUCAGCCCCAAACGCGUGCGCUCCUUCCGCCACAUAAGGGAGGACGAGGUGAGGAUGCGGGUGGACCAGAUCCGCCAGGCGGGGCCGUCGGCGCCGGUGAACCUGAGCGUGAUGUUUCACAAUGUGACCAACAGCAUCGUUGCGCGGGCAGCGUUCGGGAAGAAGCACAAGAACGCGGCGGAGUUCCAGGCCGCCAUCAAGUCCGGUGUGGGCCUGGCGAGCGGCUUCAACAUCCCCGACCUCUUCCCGACGUGGACCACUGUGCUGGCCAAGCUCACCGGCAUGAAGCGCAGCCUCCAGAGCAUCCACAAGACGGUGGACGCCAUCCUGCAGGAGAUCAUCGACGAGAGGAAGGCCGCCCGCAUCGAGAAGAUCAAGGCCGGCGCCGAGAACGUGGACGAGAACCUCGUGGACGUGCUUAUCGGCCUGCAGGAGAAAGGCGGCUUCGGGUUCCACCUGGACAACAGCAGGAUGAAGGCCAUCAUCCUGGACAUGUUCGGGGGCGGGACGGGAACAUCAGCUCCGACAUCUUGCUGCUGCUGA
RNAcentral lists this ribosomal RNA (954 nucleotides) under Triticum aestivum (bread wheat). Its description in RNAcentral is "partial small subunit ribosomal RNA". The record is from RNAcentral. Lineage: Eukaryota; Viridiplantae; Streptophyta; Magnoliopsida; Poales; Poaceae.